UACGGAGGGUGCAAGCGUUAAUCGGAAUUACUGGGCGUAAAGCGCGCGUAGGCGGUUUUUUAAGUCGGAUGUGAAAGCCCCGGGCUCAACCUGGGAACUGCAUCCGAUACUGGAAGACUAGAAUGCGGGAGAGGGAGGUAGAAUUCCAUGUGUAGCAGUGAAAUGCGUAGAUAUAUGGAGGAAUACCAGUGGCGAAGGCGGCCUCCUGGCUCGACAUUGACGCUGAGGUGCGAAAGCGUGGGGAGCAAGCGGG
RNAcentral lists this ribosomal RNA (253 nucleotides) under uncultured bacterium. RNAcentral's name for it is "partial 16S ribosomal RNA". It matches the Rfam family "Bacterial small subunit ribosomal RNA", at positions 524 to 776 of the family's 1533-position model. The record is from RNAcentral.